This 1228-nucleotide ribosomal RNA is filed under the name Listeria monocytogenes. RNAcentral describes it as "bacterial LSU rRNA". It matches the Rfam family "Bacterial large subunit ribosomal RNA", at positions 152 to 1375 of the family's 2925-position model. Lineage: Bacteria; Bacillati; Bacillota; Bacilli; Caryophanales; Listeriaceae. The record is from RNAcentral.
CCUUACGUGAAUACAUAGCGUAAGGAAGGCAGACCCAGGGAACUGAAACAUCUAAGUACCUGGAGGAAGAGAAAGAAAAAUCGAUUUCCUGAGUAGCGGCGAGCGAAACGGAAAGAGCCCAAACCAAGAAGCUUGCUUCUUGGGGUUGUAGGACACUCUAUACGGAGUUACAAAAGAAAGUUAUAAAUGAAGCGGUCUGGAAAGGCCCGCCAAAGACGGUAACAGCCCGGUAGUUGAAAUGGCUUUCCCUCCAGAGUGGAUCCUGAGUACGGCGGAACACGUGAAAUUCCGUCGGAAUCCGGGAGGACCAUCUCCCAAGGCUAAAUACUCCCUAGUGACCGAUAGUGAACCAGUACCGUGAGGGAAAGGUGAAAAGCACCCCGGAAGGGGAGUGAAACAGUUCCUGAAACCGUGUGCCUACAAGUAGUUAGAGCCCGUUAAUGGGUGAUAGCGUGCCUUUUGUAGAAUGAACCGGCGAGUUACGAUUUGUUGCAAGGUUAAGCGGAAAAAGCGGAGCCGUAGCGAAAGCGAGUCUGAAUAGGGCGCAUAAGUAACAGGUCGUAGACCCGAAACCAGGUGAUCUACCCAUGUCCAGGAUGAAGGUAAGGUAAUACUUACUGGAGGUCCGAACCCACGCACGUUGAAAAGUGCGGGGAUGAGGUGUGGGUAGCGGAGAAAUUCCAAUCGAACUUGGAGAUAGCUGGUUCUCUCCGAAAUAGCUUUAGGGCUAGCCUCGAGGUAAAGAGUCAUGGAGGUAGAGCACUGUUUGGACUAGGGGCCCUUCUCGGGUUACCGAAUUCAGAUAAACUCCGAAUGCCAUGUACUUAUACUCGGGAGUCAGACUGCGAGUGAUAAGAUCCGUAGUCGAAAGGGAAACAGCCCAGACCACCAGUUAAGGUCCCCAAAUAUAUGUUAAGUGGAAAAGGAUGUGGGGUUGCUUAGACAACCAGGAUGUUGGCUUAGAAGCAGCCACCAUUGAAAGAGUGCGUAAUAGCUCACUGGUCGAGUGACCCCGCGCCGAAAAUGUACCGGGGCUAAACAUAUUACCGAAACUGUGGAUGAACCUCUUCGGAGGUUCGUGGUAGGAGAGCGUUCUAAGGGCGGUGAAGUCAGACCGGAAGGACUGGUGGAGCGCUUAGAAGUGAGAAUGCCGGUAUGAGUAGCGAAAGAAGGGUGAGAAUCCCUUCCACCGAAUAUCUAAGGUUUCCUGAGGAAGGCUCGUCCGCUC